RNAcentral lists this long non-coding RNA (206 nucleotides) under Elaeis guineensis (African oil palm). RNAcentral's name for it is "long non-coding RNA (EGUI_LNC027555)". Lineage: Eukaryota; Viridiplantae; Streptophyta; Magnoliopsida; Arecales; Arecaceae. The record is from RNAcentral.
CCCCCCUUUUGGAUAGCCAUCUUUGGAUAACAAGUAGUAUCAAAGCAGGUGCUCACUUGUUACUCAAUUCUUUAAGCAAAAGAUUUAAUGACAAAUCUAAUUGAGACUUCAUUGGUUGAAGGGUAAUCAAUCAAUAGACCUUCACUUUUCAAUGAGACCAACUAUACCUAUUGAGAAGCAAGAAUGAGAAUAUUUAUCCAAGCACA